Molecule: long non-coding RNA, 592 nt
Filed under: Setaria viridis
Lineage: Eukaryota; Viridiplantae; Streptophyta; Magnoliopsida; Poales; Poaceae
Description: long non-coding RNA (SVIR_LNC004839)
Source: RNAcentral
CUUUAACUUAAACAUCAGUAAAAGCAUUCAAUCAUUACAUUUCAAGCAUCACACUCAUUAAUUCUUGACAUGUUUAUUAAUGAUGCAUCAUAUGUAUUCAUUUAGGGGCAAAUUUUAAUAAAAUAAAAAUCUUGCAUUAACUAAAAUAUUUUAUGCCGAAUUAAUUUGCACUCGUUGGUUACUACUUCUUAAGUGUAAUUUUGAGUUUGAGUUGAUCUCUUUAUUAGAACAUGUAUUUUUCUCUUUGGACUAAAAAAUCAAUUUACAAGAUAUAUUUCGUAUAUAUGCUGAUACUCUCCAUUCCAUGAUAAUAGGAUGGCCAUGCAUGCAUUUAAAAUAUCAAGUAAAAGCAUUGUUUUCGGAUGUAGUAAUUUUGUUCGUGGCCUAGUUAUUAGUGGCAUUAUUAUCUUUAUUCUACAUGUCAUUUUUAUCUUGUCUUUGUGUACUUGUCACCACUCAUCAUUUUAUAAAACUGGAGAUCAAACUAUCUUUUGUUUCUCUUAAAAAAAUAUUUAGCAUAAAACUAAAAUAAAAGCUCUUAACAAAUAAACCAAUAAUUUCUAAUAUAUUUUCACACCAAUUUCAAUAUUCC